Molecule: ribosomal RNA, 602 nt
Filed under: Fusarium petroliphilum
Lineage: Eukaryota; Fungi; Ascomycota; Sordariomycetes; Hypocreales; Nectriaceae
Description: eukaryotic LSU rRNA
Rfam family: Eukaryotic large subunit ribosomal RNA
Source: RNAcentral
AACUCUUCUGAAGUUGACCUCGAAUCAGGUAGGAAUACCCGCUGAACUUAAGCAUAUCAAUAAGCGGAGGAAAAGAAACCAACAGGGAUUGCCCCAGUAACGGCGAGUGAAGCGGCAACAGCUCAAAUUUGAAAUCUGGCUCUCGGGCCCGAGUUGUAAUUUGUAGAGGAUGCUUUUGGUGAGGUGCCUUCCGAGUUCCCUGGAACGGGACGCCAUAGAGGGUGAGAGCCCCGUCUGGUUGGACGCCGAACCUCUGUAAAGCUCCUUCGACGAGUCGAGUAGUUUGGGAAUGCUGCUCUAAAUGGGAGGUAUAUGUCUUCUAAAGCUAAAUACCGGCCAGAGACCGAUAGCGCACAAGUAGAGUGAUCGAAAGAUGAAAAGAACUUUGAAAAGAGAGUUAAACAGUACGUGAAAUUGUUGAAAGGGAAGCGCUUGUGACCAGACUUGGGCUUGGUUGAUCAUCCGGGGUUCUCCCCGGUGCACUCUUCCGGCCCAGGCCAGCAUCAGUUCGCCCUGGGGGACAAAGGCUUCGGGAACGUGGCUCUCUCCGGGGAGUGUUAUAGCCCGUUGCGUAAUACCCUGUGGCGGACUGAGGUUCGCGC